RNAcentral lists this ribosomal RNA (736 nucleotides) under uncultured Fusobacterium sp. Its description in RNAcentral is "bacterial SSU rRNA". It matches the Rfam family "Bacterial small subunit ribosomal RNA", at positions 28 to 776 of the family's 1533-position model. Lineage: Bacteria; Fusobacteriati; Fusobacteriota; Fusobacteriia; Fusobacteriales; Fusobacteriaceae. The record is from RNAcentral.
GAUGAACGCUGACAGAAUGCUUAACACAUGCAAGUCAACUUGAAUUUGGGUUUUUAACUUAGAUUUGGGUGGCGGACGGGUGAGUAACGCGUAAAGAACUUGCCUCACAGCUAGGGACAACAUUUAGAAAUGAAUGCUAAUACCUGAUAUUAUGAUUUUAAGGCAUCUUAGAAUUAUGAAAGCUAUAAGCACUGUGAGAGAGCUUUGCGUCCCAUUAGCUAGUUGGAGAGGUAACAGCUCACCAAGGCGAUGAUGGGUAGCCGGCCUGAGAGGGUGAACGGCCACAAGGGGACUGAGACACGGCCCUUACUCCUACGGGAGGCAGCAGUGGGGAAUAUUGGACAAUGGACCGAGAGUCUGAUCCAGCAAUUCUGUGUGCACGAUGAAGUUUUUCGGAAUGUAGAGUGCUUUCAGUUGGGAAGAAAAAAAUGACGGUACCAACAGAAGAAGUGACGGCUAAAUACGUGCCAGCAGCCGCGGUAAUACGUAUGUCACGAGCGUUAUCCGGAUUUAUUGGGCGUAAGGCGCGUCUAGGUGGUUAUGUAAGUCUGAUGUGAAAAUGCAGGGCUCAACUCUGUAUUGCGUUGGAAACUGUAUAACUAGAGUACUGGAGAGGUAAGCGGAACUACAAGUGUAGAGGUGAAAUUCGUAGAUAUUUGUAGGAAUGCCGAUGGGGAAGCCAGCUUACUGGACAGAUACUGACGCUAAAGCGCGAAAGCGUGGGGUAGCAAACAGG